AGUGACAGGUCAUGAAAGAUAAAGCUACAGACCCACUGGAGAUGUGGGCCAGCCGAAGUUUCAACCAGAUGUCGCCAGAGUGGCCAGUCUCCCCCAGGCAAAGCAAAGCAAAGCGAUAGUUCCUGGACAACUCCUUUCGUGGUGGACUUCCUGAGGCCCUCUGCGCCGGCUCCCGGCUCUACAGAGCUUGUUCCUGGGGACCAGUUACUCCAGGCUUUGGAUCUCCCCACCUCAAUAGUUCGCAGGGAAGUUCUCCAUCAUUCCACUGGGGCCAGGCCUUGGGUUCCACUCCAGAAGCCCCGAAGCACCCUUCCUCCUGUCCAGAGUCCUCUCUCCUACCUACUUGGGCUUAGGCUCAGCCCACCUGUGGGCUGGGAGGGGAUGGAAGAGACAGGUGGGCCCCUAGAUGCACUGGCUGGAUUGCAGACAUAUUUAUGCUCCAUUUCUAGUGUCUGGUCCUUCCUGUGGUCCCACUGAUGGGGGAACAGAAAGGAAACAGGAGGGGGCUGGGGUGACAGGCACAGCCCACUAGGCUGCCCUCCUCUGCCUCACCCUCCCUUGCCUGGGCCCCAGCUGAGCCCAUCAUCAGAGGCCUCCAGGAGCUGGGGCCACAGUCUGCGUGGGUCUGCCCCUCCCCUCACCCCAGCCUAGAAGACUCCACCUCUCCCAGGUCCUGGCUGGGAUCCGAAGGCCCCGGGCAAGUGGGGGAAGGGGAGCCACUCCUACUUUCCCAGCAGCUGCUGCUGCCUCUUCCUGUUUUGCUAAAACUUUGGCUCCGGACCCAAGGGGGUGGGGGAAAGUCGCCAGGCGCUCUCGCCCCCCCCAAAGGUCAAACUCAUCCCCCUGGUCCUCUUAGCUAGUUAUUUAUAGCUCCCCAGGCCCUGGCUGAGGAGCUACAUCUCUCCUCCCCCAAAUGUCAGCAGCUGUGGCCAUUGCCCCAGGGAUGCAGCCAGAUGUGCUGAUCACUCCAGAUGCGCAGUGCCAGGAUUUGGGAGCGCAGGCCAGGCCCUUUCUCCUGGACAUUCCCUGCUGCCUGGUUCCUCCUCCACUCUGAGUCAACAAACCUGAGUCCUGGGGGAUGGGGGGACAUCAGGAAGUUCCCACCUAUUUUCUCCACUCCCAUUGCCUGAUCCCAAGACGGGACAGCUCGGGCUAUAGACCCACGUGGAUGUCUUUGCAUAAAUUAGGACAGGACUCAUUUGGAGACUGGAUUUGUAGAAGUCAGCUGCAGUUCAGAGGGACAGAAGGGUCAGGAUGCUGGAUGCUGUCUUCUUACUAACGUCAGCACGGAGAUCCACUCCUGAGAGUCCAGCGUCCAAAGGGCAGGCUCUGCGAUUCUUUUCUUUGGCUACAUCCUGCUCUCCAGGAGAUGAUGAAUUCCCCAGGGAGAGGACUGCAGCUUCCUUUGCCUCUGUGCCAGGAAGUUGCUCAACAAAUAAGAGAUUAUACGUAAUGAAAAAGAGUUGAAGUCAGUGGUGGUCACGUGUGGGUGGAUCCUUCAAGGUUGUAGCAAGGGGAGAAGUCCAAACCCAUCCUAAAAGACACUCCUGGCAAAGAGAGUGUCAGGACCUCCUCAAACGCUUGCCUAGAGAUUCCAAGGCCUGAGAAGGUCCUGCUGCGGCCUGUGGCAAGGCUGAACUCCCGAGCCCACCAGUGGGUGGACCACAGCAUCCCUGCAGGGGCCACUGGAGCACGUAAUUGUGAGCUGGCUACAGAAAGGCAUUUUGCAACUCAGACGAAUUUCUUCUCGCUCACGAUUAGGGUAUGGCCCAGUGGCUGCCUCCCUGACUGUAAUCUCUGCUGGCACAGGCAUCUCCGGGGCUGGGCAGUGGGGGCUGUGGAAGGAGGGCUGACCUAGAAGCCUGGACGCCGGAGUUCUCUGCCCGCUCCUCGCCAGGGAUUAACCAUGGCAUGGCUGGCAGGGAGACUGGGUUCUCAGUUUCCUCAUCUGUAAAAGGAGUGAUGUGAUUAGAUUAGAGCGGCCCAAACCUAACCACACCUUAGGAUUACCUGGGGAGCUUCAGAUUACUAGGUACUCCCUUCACCCCUUGCAUCUGCUGGGGGCUGUGAGAUGGCCCAGGAAUCUGUUUUUCACAGGCUCUUCUACAUGAUUUUUUUUGGGCCACACCCACAGCCUGUGGAAGUUCUGGGGCCAGGGAUCGAACCUGCGACCCUAGCCACUGCAGUGACAAUGCCGGAUUCUUAACCUGCUGAGCCACAGGGAAACUCCUACAGGAUUUUGACAUAAUGUCAAGUAUGGGGGAUCCUACAGACUAUAAAUAUAAAUAGACUGUAAAUAUAAAUCACUUGCAGCUCUUAGGAGAAAAGAUUCUAGUAAAUGGAAUGGCUGUAACAAGAGGCUUUGGUGCUGUGGGAUUUUAUCAGAGGGCAAAUGGUGGGUAGUUUAUUUCAUCAUCAUCAUCACCAUCAAUUACUAUUUUUUCCAGGCCUUUUUUGGCUGCACCUGCAGCAUGCAGAAGCAUGCGGGGCCAGGGAUCAAACCAGCACCCCCGUGGUGACAACACCAGAUCCUUAACCCGCUGCACCACCAGGGAACCCCUCCAGUUUUAUUGAGAUAUAAUUGACCUACAUCACUGUGUAAGGUGUACAGCACAAUUUGAUUUACAUACAUCAGGAAAGGGUUAUCAGACUAAGUUUAGUAAAUAUGUAUCAACUCAUAUAGAUACAAAAUUAAAGAAAUGGAAACACCCUUUUCUUCCUGCGAGCAGAGGACUCGGGAUUGAGGCCCUCGCUUACCUCAAGGCUGGAGCCGGGCUGGGAGAGAAGGGAAGGGAGGAAUGGGCCGUCCCUGUAGGUGGGGCCUCUUGGCACGGGGACCUUUCUCUCUCACUCUCCUGGGUGGAGUUUGGCUGCACGGGCUUUGGCACCAGCCUCUGGAGCUGAGAGAGUGUCUUCCCAUCCGUAUUCCUCCCCCACUUCGGUUUCAGCCCAGAGGACAGCCCCCUUCUCCUCCUCCUGCCCCGACUUCCUCCCCAGGCUCCCUCACCAACCUCAUUCCUAAGCCUCGCUAAUCUGUUUGCCACCCUCUGCUUCCUUGCCUCGCCCUUGCUCAUGCCAUUCUCUCCACCUGGAAUGUCACCCCCGCCCCCCAACACCAAUUCACAUUUCUGGGCUCCUUUGAAACCCAGCUCCAGACUGGCUGACGUCGUUGGGGCUGUGAUCUGCCCAGGUCGCUCCUCUUCGGAGAUAGACUCAUUUAUGCUUGAAAUCACAGAAUCAGAGAACAGCUUUAGACUCAGAAAGAAAUAAGUACAGAUGACCUAAACCAGCUCUCGCAUUCAAUGGACGGAAACCCUGAGGCCCAGAGAGGUCUUGACUUGGCCAAGGUCACACAGUCGUGAGGUUUGCUGGUGGUGGUGGUGGCGGCGAACAGUUGGCUUCACAAGAGGCUUUCAAGUAUCCUACGUCUUUGUUUUAUUUCCUCGACACGUGGUGAUGCCUAUGAGGGCAGAGGUGAUGUUGCUGUUUUAAUUGGUGUUCUUAAGCUCCACGGUGCUGUGUAUGUGCAGGCAACUGUAAUAGUUCUAAAACUCGCAGGGGUGCACAUUUUGCAUAUGAUCUCAGACCAGCCCUGAGCGGUAGGUCACCAAGGCAUUGCUAUCUUACUGAGCAGGAAACUGAGACUUAGAAAGGUGUGACCCAGGAAGUUAAUGGCAGAACCGGGGCCAAAACGCAAGUUCCCUGCCUCCCAGCCUCAGCCCAGGACCCUGACACCCAUGAUGCUGUUCUUCUAGAGCCUUCCUGAGGUUCCCGGCAGGGGACCUAGAGUAGUCAAAGGGGUGGCCUCCGCCGUCUUUCGCCUUCCUUGUGAUUUCUUCACUUUGGGGUUGAGCAGACCUUGCCUCUGGCCUCCUACCCCUCCCCAUCCUGUCCCACCGCGUUCUCCUUGUGUCCCCCCACAGCCUGUUGGCACAUUGACCCAUACGCAUACAUGCUCAGAGCUGCAGGUGUCUAGGGCAACAGACCACAGGGGAAACCACAUCACCUUUGUUGACACUGGAGGGAGGCAGGGGGGCCGGGAAAGAACCUGCUUACGUCUCUCCACCUGCCUCUGUCCCCGCAGUCAUCUCACCUCCCAGCCUGGUGGGUCAUCUGGACUUGACCCAUGGCCCAGCCUCUUCCUGAGGACCCAUCCAAACCUGGCCCGGGAGGAUGUAUCGCCCCUUCUCACAGAUCCUGAAAUCCUGGAGGGAGGUGGGGCGGUCUGCCUAGCUGCACCCCAAAGCCACACCCCCAAUCCUAGCCAGUUUACUGACCUAGCUCCUCUGAUUCCACCUGCGCAGUGCAGCAGACAAAGGUGGAAACCAGGAAUGAGAGGACAUGGCUGGGGGUCGGUAAGGAAGGAAAUUUGACAUCUAGGCCAUCACUCCUACAUCAAAGGGGACCGCUAGGGAGUUCCUGUCGUGGCUCAGCGGUUAAUGAACCCAACUGGCAUCCAUGAGGACGCAGGUUCGGUCCCUGGCCUCGCUCUGUGGGUUAAGGAUCAGGUGUUGCCGUGAGCUGUGGUUUAGGCCGGUGGCUACAGCUCCAAUUAGACCCCUAGUCUGGGAACCUCCACACGCCGCAGGUGCGGCCCUAAAAAGACAAAAAGACACCAAAAAAAGGUGGAGGGGGGACCUCUAGUAACCAGGCUACACGGGAUCUGUGGUGUUUGGACCUGCUGAAAGAAGCUGCACAGGCUCUGAAUCAGGCCCAUUUGGGAUUAAGUCACUUGCUGGCUCUGUGGCCUUGGGCAAAUCAUUUUGUGUUUCUGAGCUUUAGUUUGCUAACUAAAACAAUGGGGAUAAUAAUGAGAUAUAAGUGAAAGGUCCUGGAACAGCACAGGAUACCAAGGAGACGCUCAAUAAAUCCUAAUUACCCUCCCUCCCUCCUUUCCUUCCACUUGUUGCAUCUGGCUCCAUGAAACCCUUUAUUUGGAAUUGGAGCUCUACCUCCCCUAUUUACGUGCAAGUCCAAACCCUGAGCAUUGGCAUCUGAUCCCAGGUUCAGAAACAGGAAUGCACAUCCCCACAGCCCAAGGAAGUGGCUGUCCCUCGGAGCGUGCACCCAGGCCAAGGACGAACACCUUCUGAUCGGCCUUGUGGAGAGGGUGUGAGAAGUCCAGGUUAGGAAAGGGCUUGUGGCUUCAGACACCACAUCGAGAAAGCGGGUCAGGAAUGGUCUCAGAGGCCUGCGGUUUAGACCGAUGCCUUCGGAUGGAGCUUUGAACCCUGGCACAAGGUGGGCGCCCAAUAACACUUGUUGAAUGAACGCAUGGCCUCAGCACUUACUAGUUGUGUAACGUUGGUCAUGUUUCUCAACUUUUAUGAGUCGCACUUUAAUCACAAACAUAACAAGGAUUACUGCUAAGAAUAAAUGAUCUCAUGUUUGCCAGGGGGCUGGCAUAGGGCUGCUGCAUGGCACACAGUCAGUAAAUGGUAGCUAAGUAAGGGGAUGUGAGAUAAACGAGAAAGAGAAGGUCAAAGAGGCUCAGAACCCCAAAGCAAGCGGAAGGUGGCUGCCUUCAGGCUUCGUACUGGCCAGAGACUCCAGGAAGACUCUGGGGAGCCAAGGCAGGUCCUGUGGGGCUAAUCUCUUCUGCUAGGUGCUUAGCUGAGCAGUCUGUGAGAGGCCUGGACUCAAGAGC
This 5647-nucleotide long non-coding RNA is filed under the name Sus scrofa (pig). Its description in RNAcentral is "lncRNA (ENSSSCG00000042249.2)". Lineage: Eukaryota; Metazoa; Chordata; Mammalia; Artiodactyla; Suidae. The record is from RNAcentral.